Molecule: long non-coding RNA, 1058 nt
Filed under: Rosa chinensis
Lineage: Eukaryota; Viridiplantae; Streptophyta; Magnoliopsida; Rosales; Rosaceae
Description: sRNA RchiOBHm_Chr1g0350131
Source: RNAcentral
GUACAGUAAAAAGAAAAUUUACCCCGACCAGUUGGCAUGCACGUGGUUGUUGAGAUCGGCCUUUGUUAUGCCCGACCUUUCAAUUUUUGUUUGCGGGGAAAUUGCAGCUGGCAGAGACUGUUCACUGAUCUUGAUGCAGAACACAAGGGAAAGAUCAACAAGAGAGAAGACAGAGAGCGGUUCUAGUCUCCGAAGGGUCCCUCCAAACAAGAAGAAUUAGAAGAACACCGAUUGUUGAUAGUUCCUGAGGCGAAGACCAAUUCUUUUCUGCGAAACCCUGGUUCCCAAAUCAAUACCGAAUCCGGAGUUCUUCUUAGCAUUCAGCCCACGGAGCUCAAAUUCCCCUGUACCAUGGUUCAACUUUGAUAGCAGCAAGCCUUUCUGGCCUCCCAGCUCUGCAUCAAAAAUUUGAUCUUCCUGCUCCAUUUGUAUUGCACACUGAUUGUCCCCAUUAUUGGCGCUAUCACCAGCCAGGUGAGUCGGAGGAGGAAUUCUCAACCAGAUUAGCCAAUGAUUUGGAGAAUCUUAUCCUCAAAGAAGGACCAGAGACUAUUGCUGCGUUCAUUGCCGAACCUGUCAUAGGUGCAGGAGGUGUGAUACCUCCCCCUGCAACUUAUUUUGACAAGGCAAUGGAUAAAGUUUAAACGUUGUAUUCAUGCUACCUGAAGGACAACUUAAAAAGAUUGGAGAAAGAGGAAAGAUGCCGAGGACUUGUGCAGGGAAAGGAGAAGACUGCUGGAGAUUAAAAGGUGGCAGUUUGCAUAUAUAUCUUGAUUGCUGGAAGACCCCACUCCCGUCCUGAAUUUGUUUUUGCAGAAGUCUUAGUUUAAUCACUAUUUGUUAAAACCUUAUUCCUUUCAAAAAUAGAUACAAUGUCAGUUGUAUAGUAUAAUAAAGUGAACUCAUGCUAUGGGUUUAAGAUAUGUAACAGGCCAAUCAAGAUCCAAUGUGUUUUAAGUGUAGAAGUUGCAAUUCAAAAUACUCAGUAUUUUGUCUUUCAAGGAGAGUUGCAGAAAAUGGGAUUCUGAUGUUGUAUUGUGUGAAAUUGAAGUUCUAGU